UCCCAGCAAUGGGGGAACCGGCGUAAGGGGCAGUAAGGCGUGGGUACCUACCCUGGGGUCCGGGAUAGCCGUCCGAGAGGGCGGGUAAUACCGGAUGACCUCGGGAGAGCAAAGCUCCGGCGCCCUGGGAGGGGCCCACGUGAUAUUAGCUGGUUGGUGAGGUGACGGCUCACCAAGGCGGAGAUGUCUAGCGGGUGUGAGAGCACGACCCGCGCCACUCGCACUGAGACACUGGCGAGACACCUACGGGUGGCUGCAGUCGAGGAUCUUCGGCAAUGCGCGCAAGCGCGACCGAGCGACGCCGCGUGGGCGAUGAAGGCCUUCGGGUUGUAAAGCCCUGUCGAGGGGGAGAAAAGCGGGCAACCGUGUGAUCUAUCCCUGGAGGAAGCUCGGGCUAAGUUCGUGCCAGCAGCCGCGGUAAGACGAACCGAGCGAACGUUGUUCGGAAUCACUGGGCUUAAAGGGCGCGUAGGCGGGCUGCCAAGUUUGGGGUGAAAUCCUCCGGCUCAACCGGGGAAGUGCCUUGAAUACUGGCGGUCUGGAGGGAGGUAGGGGCGUGCGGAACUAACGGUGGAGCGGUGAAAUGCGUUGAUAUCGUUAGGAACUCCGGUGGCGAAGGCGGCACGCUGGACCUUUUCUGACGCUGAGGCGCGAAAGCCAGGGGAGCGAACGGGAUUAGAUACCCCGGUAGUCCUGGCCCUAAACGUUGAGAACUAGGUAGUAGGCCGGACAUGGGCUUACUGCCGGAGCAAAAGUGCUAAGUUCUCCGCCUGGGGAGUAUGGUCGCAAGGCUGAAACUCAAAGGAAUUGACGGGGGCUCACAC
This 824-nucleotide ribosomal RNA is filed under the name uncultured Planctomycetia bacterium. Its description in RNAcentral is "bacterial SSU rRNA". It matches the Rfam family "Bacterial small subunit ribosomal RNA", at positions 74 to 926 of the family's 1533-position model. The record is from RNAcentral. Lineage: Bacteria; Pseudomonadati; Planctomycetota; Planctomycetia.